RNAcentral lists this ribosomal RNA (480 nucleotides) under Triticum aestivum (bread wheat). Its description in RNAcentral is "partial small subunit ribosomal RNA". The record is from RNAcentral. Lineage: Eukaryota; Viridiplantae; Streptophyta; Magnoliopsida; Poales; Poaceae.
AUGUAUCCACUGGCUUGGGCAGUAGUUGAGCAGGAAACAAAUGAGACAUGGAAAUGGUUCAUUGGUUUGCUCAUUAAAGAUUUGAACAUUAACAACAAUGGAGAUGGCUGGGUGUUCAUAUCUGACCAGCAAAAGGGUAUUCUCAAUGCCAUGAAUGACUAUCUUCCAAAAGCAGAGCACAGGAUGUGUGCUAGGCACAUCUAUGCCAACUGGAGGAAGAAACACAUGGCACAUGAGUGGCAGAAGAAAUUCUGGGCUGUUGCCAAAGCAGCAAACAUCCAAGAUUUCAAUUAUUAUAAAGCCAAGCUUGCACAAGAAACACCAGAGGGUGCAAAAGAUAUCAUGAGAACAGAACCAGUGCACUGGGCAAGGGCAUAUUUUGCAGUUGGUUCCAACUGUGAGUCAGUGGAUAACAACUUGUGUGAAUCAUUCAAUCAUGCAAUUGUGGAUGCAAGGUUUUAUCCAAUAAUUUCAUUCUAG